Long non-coding RNA from Onychostruthus taczanowskii (white-rumped snowfinch), 2076 nucleotides. RefSeq lists it as uncharacterized. The transcript has 2 exons. The record is from RefSeq and is a predicted model, not a curated record. NCBI's taxonomy places the organism in Eukaryota, Metazoa, Chordata, Aves, Passeriformes, Passeridae.
GAACGAAAGUGCUGGAAAAAUCUAUCACAUCAGUACAGCUGCCAAGGGGGGUGAGGGGGAAUUCACUAGCUCCAGCAUGAGUCAGCAGCUGCUUCGUGUUUGUUAAGACUUUUAAAGGAAUUUAAAGUUCUGGCAACUGACCACUUGGCACAGAAACCAGCAAACCGUGACUCAUCAUUUUUUGACUCUGCUGUUCUUGCUGAGUCACGCCACGUUGGUAGCCCUGAAGCUCAAACACAGCAGGAUCAGUGCUGAUUAUCACACUUGGGCCUUUGCCUGCUCUGUCUGCCCACUGCAGAUGGACACUCAUCUUUAUCUCUGAGGGCCUCCACCCAGCUCCUGCACUGCACUGCUCCAUCCCAGGAAAAAAUUUCCACUUGCUUCUUGCCCAACACUUUUCAGAAACCUGACUGCUUCCUGUGAACCAAGAGUGUCUCAUUUGGCAAAUGGAUUUUGUGCUGUAACACACACACAAUUACAUCAGUAUCAUCACAGGGCUGAAGGGCAAAGAAAGCAAGUUUUCCUAGAAGAACUAGAAAUUAAAUUCCAGAAAAAUGCGGGCUAGUCUUCACUGUGAAUGAAUUCAUUGGUUUCAGCACUUCUGCUACCACAUGGCUCAGUGUGCAUCAAUGUGUGUGUUUGAAGGUGCAUCUACACACACCUCCCUGCAAGCAAAGCUCAGGACUUUAACAGAUCACCAAAACAACAUCUCUUAACAUGUGAAAUCUAAAAUCAACUCCUCCAUUGCAAAUUCAGCACUCCCUGACCCAGGAGUGUCCUAAAGCACAGGAACAUAGGAUUCCCAGCAGAGCUCUGUAAACAAUUUCUGGCUUGAUUCAGGUACUUGUCCUGUGUGAAACCUUGCUCCUCAUCUGAGGACAAGCCAAGCAGGCUGGGGCCAUGUCCAUGUCACCACUGCAAAGCCAAUGCAGAGAGCUCCAUUCCUAAGGCAGAUUCAAACUUUCCAGUGAGAAGAAACAGCUGGAGCUGACACAAGCAAAUGGGAUUUGCACAGCCAGACCAACACCGAAGGGAGCACGUGUCGCCACAAGAUGGAGCACAAAAUGCAGAGGUCAUUCCCAGCUCCCCUGCAGCCCCCUGCUCAACACCCACCCAAUCCCAACCUGCCAGGCCAAACAAUAGCUGGUCUCUACCCAAAGUAUGUGCAGCACCUGAGCCAGGGCAAACACAGAGCAGCAUCUCCCCUUCCCCACAGGUUCCAAGCACCAGCAGUGAAUUGCUCAGGACUGAAUUCCAAAAUCUGUCUGCUUUCACUCAGGAGUCUCAACAUUUAGAAAACUAAGAGGUGAUACAUAUUCUGGGGGCUUUUUUGUCCUAAAGGGAAAAUUGUAUUCUGUCAGAAAGGCAGUGAUGGGAGAGUGGUAAAGGCAGUUUACUGUGUUUAUCUGUUCUGGAGUUACAGGUUCCAGGACACCUUGUGAAUUUCCAAGUGUAAGGACUGAUCCUGUUCCUUCCUUCACAUCAGAGAAACUAACAUCAGCUGGGAUGCAGGCUAGAUUUCAUAUCAACUCAUGUCCAGAAAAAAGAAGAACACUGAGCUCGGAAGGAAAAUGCUGAAGGAAUUUGAAGAAUGCAGAACACUGCUACAUAAAAAGCAAUCUGGCACACAGGAUUAAAUGUUUGUGCUCUUGCAACUCCUGAAUCUCAUUGGAGUAAGAAUUUGCUGAGCUGUCUUGUGGAUUAAUUUACUGCAGUAUGAAUUCUGAGGAAACUCAAAGCAGAGGCUGUUGGGUUACUCCAGACACUGCCUGAGCUCCAUGGAAAAGCAGCUCCAUCUGGCUUCCUCCUAACUGCAGGAGGGUCCCAGAUUUAGACUGACACAAACCAGCAGAGGUGGCUGCCACAUCUAGAAGAUUCUGGACUCUACAAAGUUCUGGGGUGCCUCCUAGGAUGAUAAGACACACCCAAAAAGAAGUUCCUUCAGAAGUAACAAAAAAGUGUUUACAGCUCUUUAUAACUUUAUUUAUUUGCCCAGAUACAAUUUUAUUUAGACAAACUGAAAUGAAGUAACAUCUAGCAAUUAGGAUUAAACUGACUGGAAACAAUGUACAAUAA